This 2878-nucleotide ribosomal RNA is filed under the name Stenotrophomonas maltophilia. RNAcentral describes it as "23S ribosomal RNA". It matches the Rfam family "Bacterial large subunit ribosomal RNA". The record is from RNAcentral. RNAcentral also lists the same sequence under 4 other names. Lineage: Bacteria; Pseudomonadati; Pseudomonadota; Gammaproteobacteria; Lysobacterales; Lysobacteraceae.
GGUCAAGCGAAUAAGCGCACACGGUGGAUGCCUUGGCGGUCAGAGGCGAUGAAGGACGUGGCAGCCUGCGAAAAGUAUCGGGGAGCUGGCAACAAGCUUUGAUCCGGUAAUGUCCGAAUGGGGAAACCCACCCGCUUGCGGGUAUCCUGCAGUGAAUACAUAGCUGCUGGAAGCGAACCUGGUGAACUGAAAUAUCUAAGUAACCAGAGGAAAAGAAAUCAACCGAGAUUCCGUAAGUAGCGACGAGCGAACGCGGACUAGCCCUUAAGCUGAUUUGGUUCUAGGAAAACGCUCUGGAAAGAGCGGCCAUAGAAGGUGAUAGCCCUGUAUCUGAAAGGGCCAUUUCAGUGAAGACGAGUAGGGCGGGGCACGUGAAACCCUGUCUGAACAUGGGGGGACCAUCCUCCAAGGCUAAAUACUACUGACCGACCGAUAGUGAACCAGUACCGUGAGGGAAAGGCGAAAAGAACCCCGGAGAGGGGAGUGAAAUAGAACCUGAAACCGUGUGCGUACAAGCAGUAGGAGCUCCGCAAGGAGUGACUGCGUACCUUUUGUAUAAUGGGUCAGCGACUUACUGUUCGUGGCAAGCUUAACCGUAUAGGGGAGGCGAAGGGAAACCGAGUCUGAUAAGGGCGCAUAGUCGCGGGCAGUAGACCCGAAACCGGGUGAUCUAGUCAUGCCCAGGGUGAAGGUGCGGUAACACGCACUGGAGGCCCGAACCCACUCCCGUUGCAAAGGUAGGGGAUGAGGUGUGAUUAGGAGUGAAAAGCUAAUCGAACCCGGAGAUAGCUGGUUCUCCUCGAAAGCUAUUUAGGUAGCGCCUCAUAUGUAUCCUCUCGGGGGUAGAGCACUGUUAUGGCUAGGGGGUCAUCGCGACUUACCAAACCAUUGCAAACUCCGAAUACCGAGACGGACUGUAUGGGAGACACACGGCGGGUGCUAACGUCCGUCGUGAAAAGGGAAACAACCCAGACCCACAGCUAAGGUCCCAAAUUUUGUGCUAAGUGGAAAACCAUGUGGAAAGGCACAGACAGCCAGGAGGUUGGCUUAGAAGCAGCCACCCUUUAAAGAAAGCGUAAUAGCUCACUGGUCGAGUCGGUCUGCGGGGAAGAUUUAACGGGGCUAAGCACAGAACCGAAGCUUGGGGUGCAUACUUUGUAUGCGCGGUAGAGGAGCGUUCCGUAAGCCGUUGAAGGUGGAUUGAGAAGUCUGCUGGAGGUAUCGGAAGUGCGAAUGCUGACAUGAGUAACGAUAAUGCGGGUGAAAAACCCGCACGCCGAAAGCCCAAGGUUUCCUUGCGCAACGUUAAUCGGCGCAGGGUGAGUCGGCCCCUAAGGCGAGGACGAAAGUCGUAGUCGAUGGGAAGCAGGUUAAUAUUCCUGCACCUCGCGUAAGUGCGAUGGAGGGACGGAGAAGGUUAGGUGUACCAGGCGUUGGUUGUCCUGGGGAAAGGCGGUAGGUUUGGAUCUUUGGCAAAUCCGGGAUCCUUUAAGACCGAGCACCGAGACGAGCCUUUAUGGCGAAGUCACUGAUACCACGCUUCCAGGAAAAGCUCCUAAGCUUCAGCUUACGCAGACCGUACCGUAAACCGACACAGGUGGGUAGGAUGAGAAUUCUCAGGCGCUUGAGAGAACUCGGGUGAAGGAACUAGGCAACAUGGCACCGUAACUUCGGGAGAAGGUGCACCCUUUUUGGUGGCUCGUGCGAGCUAUAGCUGAAGAGGGUCGCAGUAACCAGGCCGCUGCGACUGUUUAUCAAAAACACAGCACUCUGCAAACACGAAAGUGGACGUAUAGGGUGUGACGCCUGCCCGGUGCUGGAAGGUUAAUUGAUGGGGUCAGCCGCAAGGCGAAGCUCUUGAUCGAAGCCCCAGUAAACGGCGGCCGUAACUAUAACGGUCCUAAGGUAGCGAAAUUCCUUGUCGGGUAAGUUCCGACCUGCACGAAUGGCGUAACGACAGCGGCGCUGUCUCCACCCGAGACUCAGUGAAAUUGAAAUCGCUGUGAAGAUGCAGCGUUCCCGUGGCAAGACGGAAAGACCCCGUGAACCUUUACUAUAGCUUUACACUGAACGUUGAGUUCGUCUGUGUAGGAUAGGUGGGAGGCUAUGAAACCAUGGCGCUAGCUGUGGCGGAGCCAUCCUUGAAAUACCACCCUGUCGUGCUUGACGUUCUAACCUGGGCCCAUUAUCUGGGUCGGGGACCGUGUAUGGUGGGUAGUUUGACUGGGGCGGUCUCCUCCUAAAGAGUAACGGAGGAGCUCGAAGGUACGCUCAGCGCGGUCGGACAUCGCGCACUGUGUGCAAAGGCAUAAGCGUGCUUGACUGCAAGAUCGACGGAUCAAGCAGGUAGGAAACUAGGACUUAGUGAUCCGGUGGUUCUGUAUGGAAGGGCCAUCGCUCAACGGAUAAAAGGUACUCCGGGGAUAACAGGCUGAUACCGCCCAAGAGUUCAUAUCGACGGCGGUGUUUGGCACCUCGAUGUCGGCUCAUCACAUCCUGGGGCUGUAGUCGGUCCCAAGGGUAUGGCUGUUCGCCAUUUAAAGUGGUACGCGAGCUGGGUUCAGAACGUCGUGAGACAGUUCGGUCCCUAUCUGCCAUGGGCGUUGGAGAUUUGAGAGGGGCUGCUCCUAGUACGAGAGGACCGGAGUGGACGAACCUCUGGUGUUCCGGUUGUCACGCCAGUGGCAUUGCCGGGUAGCUAUGUUCGGAAGCGAUAACCGCUGAAAGCAUCUAAGCGGGAAGCGCGCCUCAAGAUGAGAUCUCCCGGGGCACAAGCCCCCUGAAGGAACCAUGUAGACUACGUGGUUGAUAGGUCAGGUGUGUAAGUACAGCAAUGUAUUGAGCUAACUGAUACUAAUGAUCCGUGCGGCUUGACCAU